CGUUCGUGUCUCGGGCAUGGCCGUUCGUGUCUCGGGCAUGGCCGUUCGUGUCUCGGGCAUGGCCGUUCGUGUCUCGGACAUGGCCGUUCGUGUCUCGGGCAUGGCCGUCUCGGACAUGGCCGUUCGUGUCUCGGACAUGGCCGUCUCGGACAUGGCCGUUCGUGUCUCGGACAUGGCUGUCUCGGACAUGGCCGUUCGUGUCUCGGACAUGGCCGUUCGUGUCUCGGGCAUGGCCGUUCGUGUCUCGGGCAUGGCCGUUCGUGUCUCGGGCAUGGCCGUUCGUGUCUCGGGCAUGGCCGUUCGUGUCUCGGACAUGGCCGUUCGUGUCUCGGACAUGGCCGUUCGUGUCUCGGACAUGGGGAUGACUCUUGUCAGGUCAGAGGAUGCUCAAUGGUUACAAUGUUUUCCUGCUGCGCCUGUACUCAGCACUGUCUGUCUGUCUGUCUGUCUGUCUGUCUGUCUGUCUGUCUGUCUGUCUGUCUGUCUGUCUGUCUGUCUGUCUGUCUGUCUGUCUGUCUGUCUGUCUGUCUGUCUGUCUGUCUGUCUGUGGUGAUUCUUUGUCUCUGCCUCUGUUCGCUGUAGCACCAAAUAAUGCUAAAUGGUGCUGAAUAAUGAUCAGAUGUUUUCUAUCCCAGCACCUCCAGAGGUGAAGCAGCCCUUUUUUAGCAUUUUUCCGCCCGGUGGGCCGUGCCUCCUGCAGGUAGCUGGCCCAAUGGGCUGAUGGGUAUUCAGGGGGGGAGAGGACGCACGCUGGGACUGCAAAUGAGACACGCAUUCAUGAGCAGGCAGAACUGAACUGCCUGACUACUCUGCACAGCAACAAUAUGAUGAUGAAACGCUUUUUUUUCUCUCCCUCGCUCUCUCGCUCUCCUGAACGCUGCAACGCUGAGUGGACCGAUCUCUCUUUCUAGUCAGGCUACGAGACUUUCCCCCUACUAUCUUCUAUGUGCCGAUUGGACAAUGGAAAGUGACAGGAAAGACCAUUCGGGGUCACUGAACUGUUCUGCUGGUGUACGAAAACAAACCGUGAUGCCAAUACACUGAUUCUCUUCACCCUGCUCCCUUUAAGCAUGUCUGUGUACCACAGGAGAGGGCCAGCUUUCGCCCCCCCUACCCCUCAGAACAGGUUCUGUUCUGACCCCUCCUCUACACACCCUGCACAGUGUUCUCUUGAUCAGGUUGUGUUAUGUGCUUUUCCUCUCUCUGCAGUUCAGACACACACCUCUACUGUGUACAUGAAUAUAAUAAAAAAAUAUAUGAUCUUACGUUUUCUUACUUUCUCUUCCUGCUUCAGUGUGCAGUUGACCUUAAGUGGCGUGGCUUGGAACCGUUGUGAAUGCACUGACUAGAUCCCUCAAAUUCAAAUGUGGACCUCAAAGCCAGUUCCCCGCUGCUUUUUUCAUGCUUCCCCUCCAACCAGGGACUGCAAUGAAUUAUCAGGUAGAAGAGGAAAGCAGAAGUAUUGCGGACCUCGUGGGGUCAGAGUUGAAUGCUCAUGUACUAGACCAUGUACAUGAGCAAGUCUAGAAAAUGCAUUUGAAUAACACAGAGAUGGCACUUAUCCAAUGUGCCUCUAUCAACAGUUGACUGCAUUUAAUGAGCACGUAUUAAAAAAAAGGCCUGAAGAUGAACUUCCCAUGCGCCGAUUCUCUGCCCUAGUUCCGACAUGGCGAUACCGUGUUGAAGCAGUGGCAGUGAUGAUGAUGAGGAUGAUGAUUGAAACACUACAUCAGGUUUAAUGGCCGUUGUCAGUGUGUGGUUAAUGAAAUCACUGCGAUGUAUUUCGGCUUUUUCUCAGUUCUCCUCAGUCGUACAUUCUCCAGUGCAUUAUUAAAUCAUUGAAGAGCGACUACAGAACUACCGAACACUGUGGUCACGUUGAGGGGUUGGUUGUUUAGCAACAAAACCGAGGCGUGUGAGAACAGACAGGGUUGGCUUAGGCUGUUGACAACAUGUAAACUAUAUUUUGUCUCCAAAUGUUUAUUGAAAACAUAAAUACAUUUGCACAAUGAGCACUUGUUGUCUCUCAAAUACAUUAUUACAGUUGUAAGUCAGCUAGCGAGUGAAUUUUUGCCAUUUUAGCAUAGACAUGACAUCAGUCAAAGCACCUCAAAACAAGACGUGGUAUCAAUAACAAGAUGCAAGUAGCUGAAACGAGUCCCACAUGAUUCCCCACACGCCAGCUUCUUGUCAUUGUUGCUCGCUAUCCGACGGCUCAGAAUCAUAACAGCGCACGCCUUCCGGCCACAUUGGUGACGUUGUCAGCUAAACCGCACACA
This is a long non-coding RNA of Salmo trutta (river trout), 2279 nucleotides long. The record is from Ensembl. Lineage: Eukaryota; Metazoa; Chordata; Actinopteri; Salmoniformes; Salmonidae.